RNAcentral lists this ribosomal RNA (801 nucleotides) under uncultured bacterium. RNAcentral's name for it is "bacterial SSU rRNA". It matches the Rfam family "Bacterial small subunit ribosomal RNA", at positions 71 to 849 of the family's 1533-position model. The record is from RNAcentral.
ACGUUUCCUUCGGGGAACUAGUAAAGUGGCGUCCGGGUGAGUAACGCGUGGAUAAUCUACCUUGAAGUUGGGAAUAACUUGCCGAAAGGCGAGCUAAUACCGAAUACCCCGAGUAGUUCAUAAUGAGUUAUUCGGCAAAGGGAGCCUGCAAAGGCCCUCGCUUUAAGAUGAGUCUGCGUCCCAUUAGUUAGUUGGUGGGGUAAUGGCCUACCAAGGCAACGAUGGGUAACUGGUCUGAGAGGAUGAUCAGUCACACUGGCACUGAAACACGGGCCAGACUCCUACGGGAGGCAGCAGUGGGGAAUUUUGCGCAAUGGACGAAAGUCUGACGCAGCGACGCCGCGUGAGUGAAGAAGGCCUGCGGGUCGUAAAGCUCUGUCGAGAGGGACGAAAAGCUUAAGGGUUAAUACCCCUUAGGUCUGACGGUACCUUUAAAGGAAGCACCGGCUAACUCCGUGCCAGCAGCCGCGGUAAUACGGAGGGUGCAAACGUUGCUCGGAAUUACUGGGCGUAAAGGGGAGGUAGGUGGUCUCGUAUGUAUAGGGUGAAAGCCCUGAGCUCAACUCAGGAACUGCCUUAUAAACUGCGAGACUUGAGUCCCGGAGAGGGUCGCGGAAUUCCCGGUGUAGCGGUGAAAUGCGUAGAGAUCGGGAGGAACACCAGAGGCGAAGGCGGCGACCUGGACGGGAACUGACACUCAACUCCGAAAGCGUGGGUAGCAAACAGGAUUAGAUACCCUGGUAGUCCACGCCGUAAACGAUGGGCACCAGGCAUGGUGGGAUUUGACCCCUGCCGAGCCGG